RNAcentral lists this ribosomal RNA (351 nucleotides) under uncultured bacterium. RNAcentral describes it as "bacterial SSU rRNA". It matches the Rfam family "Bacterial small subunit ribosomal RNA", at positions 917 to 1271 of the family's 1533-position model. The record is from RNAcentral.
GGGCCCGCACAAGCGGUGGAGCAUGUGGUUUAAUUCGAUGAUACGCGAGGAACCUUACCAGGGCUUAAAUGUAGUGGGACAGGUCUAGAGAUAGACCCUUCUUCGGACUCAUUACAAGGUGCUGCAUGGUUGUCGUCAGCUCGUGCCGUGAGGUGUCAGGUUAAGUCCUAUAACGAGCGCAACCCCUAUCGUUAGUUGCCAGCGGGUAAUGCCGGGAACUCUAACGAAACUGCCAGUGCAAACUGUGAGGAAGGUGGGGAUGACGUCAAAUCAUCACGGCCCUUACGUCCUGGCUACACACGUGCUACAAUGGCCGGUACAGAGAGCAGCCACUGCGCGAGCAGGAGCGAA